UGCAGCUCAUGCUUCAGAUGGGGAUAAAGCAGUAAACAACUAGGCCAGUCCUUCACAUUUUCUUGUAUUUAUAUCCAUACUUCGUAGAUGUGAGUUUCGAGAAGAAACACAGGGAGAAGAUUGACUAAUUUCUGAGUAGCUUUUUGAUACACUUCUUCCCAAGUUCGUUCAAGUUCUGUAACAUCUUUUUCAACAAAUUUGGGCGAUCUUUGAAGUUUCCCCAAUUCUUUGCCUUUCUGGACACUGGAUUUUACAUCUCCUAAAUGAGUUUCAAGCUGCUGAACUAUUGCCUGCAAGGAAAAAAAAAGUAUUCAUAAGUAGGAGAGUCUUAUAACGUUGCACUAAAGCAUCCAAUUUCUUUUGUUCUUCGGCCCCUUCUUCUUUUGGUAUAUGUGAAAGCAGGCUGUCCAAUUUUCGAACAAGCCAUUUGACGUCUUCACGUCGACUGUCC
Long non-coding RNA from Argiope bruennichi, 451 nucleotides. RefSeq lists it as uncharacterized. The record is from RefSeq and is a predicted model, not a curated record. The transcript has 3 exons. Lineage: Eukaryota; Metazoa; Arthropoda; Arachnida; Araneae; Araneidae.